ACAGUAGUCGCCCGGGUUGCCGCAAGGCCUCCCGGGUAACCUACCACCCUUUGUUUAUUACACUUUGUUGCUUUGGCAAGCCUGCCCUCGGGCUGCUGGCUCCGGCCGGCGAGCGCUUGCCAGAGGACCUAAACUCUGUUUGUCUAUACUGUCUGAGUACUAUAUAAUAGUUAAAACUUUCAACAACGGAUCUCUUGGUUCUGGCAUCGAUGAAGAACGCAGCGAAAUGCGAUAAGUAAUGUGAAUUGCAGAAUUCAGUGAAUCAUCGAAUCUUUGAACGCACAUUGCGCCCCCUGGUAUUCCGGGGGGCAUGCCUGUCCGAGCGUCAUUACAACCCUCAAGCUCAGCUUGGUGUUGGGCCCCGCCGCCCCGGCGGGCCCUAAAGUCAGUGGCGGUGCCGUCCGGCUCCGAGCGUAGUAAUUCUUCUCGCUGUUGGGCCCCGGUGGCCGCUGGCCAGCAACCCCCAAUUUUCUAUGGUUGACCUCGGAUCAGGUAGGGAUACCCGCUGAACUUAA
RNAcentral lists this ribosomal RNA (515 nucleotides) under uncultured fungus. RNAcentral's name for it is "eukaryotic LSU rRNA". The stretch from base 175 to 328 matches the Rfam family "5.8S ribosomal RNA". The record is from RNAcentral. Lineage: Eukaryota; Fungi.